UACGAAGGGGGCUAGCGUUGUUCGGAUUUACUGGGCGUAAAGCGCACGUAGGCGGCGUGUCGCGUCGGGAGUGAAAGCCCGUUGCUUAACGGCGGGUUGGCUUUCGGUACGGGCAUGCUGGAGUGCGGCAGGGGAGACUGGAAUUCCUGGUGUAGCGGUGGAAUGCGCAGAUAUCAGGAGGAACACCGGUGGCGAAGGCGGGUCUCUGGGCCGUUACUGACGCUGAGGAGCGAAAGCGUGGGGAGCGAACAGG
Molecule: ribosomal RNA, 253 nt
Filed under: uncultured bacterium
Lineage: Bacteria
Description: partial 16S ribosomal RNA
Rfam family: Bacterial small subunit ribosomal RNA
Source: RNAcentral